Molecule: long non-coding RNA, 275 nt
Filed under: Cyanistes caeruleus (blue tit)
Lineage: Eukaryota; Metazoa; Chordata; Aves; Passeriformes; Paridae
Description: lncRNA (ENSCCEG00000008925.1)
Source: RNAcentral
GAUACCCACUGUGAUCUCCAAAGUCAGAUAGGAGGAGGACAAAACUGCGGCACUUAUGUGCGCUCAUCGCCUGCGGCACUUAUGUGCGCUCAUCGCAAAAGGAAAUAUUGCCAAGUUCUCUGGAAGAGAUCUCAAAGAAGCAAUUAAUAUCAAACUGAAUGACUGACCAACCAUCUGCCAAUUCCAGCACAUUCAAUACAACUGAUGCUUUAUUCAAAUACAGAAUACAGACUCUGCCACCAGAAGAACUGAUUCAGAAAAUGUGCAGCAGCUGA